UGAGGAAUAUUGCUCAAUGGACGAAAGUCUGAAGCAGCAACGCCGCGUGAGGGAUGAAGGUGCUCUGCAUUGUAAACCUCUGUAGUCGGGGAAAAAUGGCGGGUUAUUACCCGUUUGAUGGUACCCGAAAAGUAAGGAUCGGCUAACUACGUGCCAGCAGCCGCGGUAAUACGUAGGAUCCAAGCGUUGUCCGGAUUUACUGGGUGUAAAGGGUGCGCAGGCGGACUUAUAAGUUAGAGGUGAAAUCUCUCGGCUCAACCGGGAAACUGCCUUUGAUACUGUAAGUCUUGAAUCCGAGAGAGAUUUGUGGAAUUCCGAGUGUAGCAGUGAAAUGUGUAGAUAUUCGGAAGAACACCAGUGGCGAAGGCAGCAAAUUGGCUCGGUAUUGACGCUCAGGCACGAAAGCAUGGGGAUCAAACAGGAUUAGAUACCCGUGUAGUCC
This 442-nucleotide ribosomal RNA is filed under the name uncultured bacterium. Its description in RNAcentral is "bacterial SSU rRNA". It matches the Rfam family "Bacterial small subunit ribosomal RNA", at positions 355 to 796 of the family's 1533-position model. The record is from RNAcentral.